CCUUACGAGCCUUUUAUCUCUCUUUACUUCUCUGCAAAAUAAAAUUCGUUAUCCUCCAAACACCACGAACCAGAAAUUCCAUCGAUUCCAAAACCUCAUCUACAUCUCUCUUUAUUCCUUUACCAUUUUAGUUUUCUCUCACAACUUCUUUCACAGCUGAUCGAAAUCUCUAUCUUUCUAUCGAUUUUUUUCUCACUCAAAAUCAUUAAGGGUAGAGAUUCUUUUCAAUUGAAUCAUGAAGAAACUAGGUUAUAGAUUCUUCUCAAUUGAUUCAUGAAGAAACUAGGGUAUAGAUUCUUCUCAAUUGAGUCAUGAAGAAAUUUAGGGUUCUUACAAUGAAAUUUAUUUUCCAAAAAAAUUAUUCAUUACAACUAUUUUUCUCUGAUUCAUAAGGUUAAUUUAUUGUAAUACUCCAUCUAUUUCUGUUUUUGUUUCUUUAAUUUUUUUUAUGAUGAGUUGAAAUCUGAUUUUUGGUUUGUUGUUAAAGUCAGAUUUGAUCCUAUAGGUAUCGAGAUUAUUAUUAGAUCAACACAUACUCAAGAUUUUCUUCGGUAUGUCAUUUGUCUCUCAGCGUGUCUUUUGUUUUAAGAUUUUGGGGAUUUUUGUCGCUGGAUUGUUGGUGUAGUUUGCGGCGUGGAUUGUUGUUUCGAAUCUGCAUAAGAAUACAAAAAAAUAGUUUAGGAGAUGAUUCAUGUACAAGAAUCUGAAUGGUGGUUCUUGACUGAAGGCUCCUCUUAUUGCCAAUGAUGUUGAGAUAAUCAUGAAGGUAAU
Papaver somniferum (opium poppy) is the source of this 771-nucleotide long non-coding RNA. RefSeq lists it as uncharacterized. NCBI's taxonomy places the organism in Eukaryota, Viridiplantae, Streptophyta, Magnoliopsida, Ranunculales, Papaveraceae. The record is from RefSeq and is a predicted model, not a curated record. The transcript is spliced from 2 exons.